UGGGGAAUUUUGGACAAUGGGCGAAAGCCUGAUCCAGCAAUGCCGCGUGUGUGAAGAAGGCCUUCGGGUUGUAAAGCACUUUUGUCCGGAAAGAAAUCCUUGGCUCUAAUACAGUCGGGGGAUGACGUACCGGAAGAAUAAGCACCGGCUAACUACGUGCCAGCAGCCGCGGUAAUACGUAGGGUGCAAGCGUUAAUCGGAAUUACUGGGCGUAAAGCGUGCGUAGGCGGUUUGCUAAGACCGAUGUGAAAUCCCCGGGCUCAACCUGGGAACUGCAUUGGUGACUGGCAGGCUAGAGUAUGGCAGAGGGGGGUAGAAUUCCACGUGUAGCAGUGAAAUGCGUAGAGAUGUGGAGGAAUACCGAUGGCGAAGGCAGCCCCCUGGGCCAAUACUGACGCUCAUGCACGAAAGCGUGGGGAGCAAACAGGAUUAGAUACCCUGGUAGUCCACGCCCUAAACGAUGUCAACUAGUUGUUGGGGAUUCAUUUCCUUAGUAACGUAGCUAACGCGUGAAGUUGACCGCCUGGGGAGUACGGUCGCAAGAUUAAAACUCAAAUGAAUUGAC
This 565-nucleotide ribosomal RNA is filed under the name uncultured bacterium. RNAcentral describes it as "partial 16S ribosomal RNA". It matches the Rfam family "Bacterial small subunit ribosomal RNA", at positions 355 to 914 of the family's 1533-position model. The record is from RNAcentral.